UAUAUGUUAGUGUUAAACUGCACAGAAAGUUUUGAUCUUUCAAGAUUUGGAAUAUUCCAUAACAUAUAU
RNAcentral lists this transfer RNA (69 nucleotides) under Pylocheles mortensenii. RNAcentral describes it as "tRNA-Gln". The record is from RNAcentral. Lineage: Eukaryota; Metazoa; Arthropoda; Malacostraca; Decapoda; Pylochelidae.